Molecule: long non-coding RNA, 276 nt
Filed under: Dermacentor andersoni
Lineage: Eukaryota; Metazoa; Arthropoda; Arachnida; Ixodida; Ixodidae
Description: uncharacterized LOC126541790
Source: RNAcentral
ACAUGUUCGAAUCGUUUCCUCUCAAGUUUACAUCUGAGAGCCCGUCAGGGACGCUGCAGCUGAGCCUUUGCAUGAGUCGCACGAGAAUGUAGAACAUGUCCAUGUGGGCUAGCUUCUCUCCGGGGCAGAUGCGGGCGCCCAUGCCGAAGGAGAUCAGUGGACCGGCGUCCGUGCGCACUUUUCCCGUCACAGGAUCAAGGAACCGCUCGGGCCGGAACUCUUCGGGCUUUUCCCAGUUCCUGGGGUCAUGAUGCACUCCGUAGAUGUUGUACAUAA